This 85-nucleotide small nuclear RNA is filed under the name Octodon degus (degu). The record is from RNAcentral. Lineage: Eukaryota; Metazoa; Chordata; Mammalia; Rodentia; Octodontidae.
GAAAUCCAAAAUUGGAACGAUACAGAGAAGAUUAGCAUGGCCCCUGCACAAGGAUGACACACAGAUAUCAUGUCUGCAUCUUGUA